GCUGGGCGCAGUGGCGUGUGCCUGUAGUCCCAGCUACUCAGGAGGCUGAGGAUGGAGGAUCGCUUGAGCCCAGGAGUUCUGGGCUGUACGCGUGCUAUACCAAUCGGGUGUCUGCACUAAGUUCAGCAUCAAUAUGGUGACCUCCCAGGAACAGGGGACCAGCAGGUUGCCUGAGGAGGGGUGAACGGGCCCAGGUCAGAAACGAAACAGGUCAAAACUCCCAUGCUGAUCACUAGUGGGAUCAGGCCUGUGAAUAACCACUGCACUCCAGCUUGGGCAACAUAGGGAGACCCUGUCCCUU
This 301-nucleotide signal recognition particle RNA is filed under the name Aotus nancymaae (Ma's night monkey). Its description in RNAcentral is "Metazoan signal recognition particle RNA (ENSANAG00000008822.1)". It matches the Rfam family "Metazoan signal recognition particle RNA". From Rfam's summary of the family: The signal recognition particle (SRP) is a universally conserved ribonucleoprotein. Lineage: Eukaryota; Metazoa; Chordata; Mammalia; Primates; Aotidae. The record is from Rfam by way of RNAcentral.